UACGUAGGGUGCGAGCGUUAAUCGGAAUUACUGGGCGUAAAGCGUGCGCAGGCGGUUCGUUGUGUCGGCGGUGAAAGCCCCGGGCUUAACCUGGGAAUGGCCGUUGAAACUGGCGAACUGGAGUGUGGCAGAGGGGGGUGGAAUUCCGCGUGUAGCAGUGAAAUGCGUAGAGAUGCGGAGGAACACCGAUGGCGAAGGCAGCCCCCUGGGCUGACACUGACGCUCAGGCACGAAAGCUAGGGGAGCAAACAGG
RNAcentral lists this ribosomal RNA (253 nucleotides) under uncultured bacterium. Its description in RNAcentral is "partial 16S ribosomal RNA". It matches the Rfam family "Bacterial small subunit ribosomal RNA", at positions 524 to 776 of the family's 1533-position model. The record is from RNAcentral.